GAAUCUUCCGCAGUGGGCGAAAGCCUGACGGAGCGACGCCGCGUACAGGAUGAAGGCCUUCGGGUUGUAAACUGUUGUCACGCUAUAGGAAUGCCAUGGUGUUAAUACCACCCUGGUUGACUAAAGCGAGAGGAAGCACCGGCUAACUCUGUGCCAGCAGCCGCGGUAAGACAGAGGGUGCAAACGUUGUUCGGAAUCACUGGGCAUAAAGCGCACGUAGGCGGCCGAAUAAGUCAGGUGUGAAAGCCCCCGGCUCAACCGGGGAACGGCACUUGAUACUGUUCGACUAGAGGACGGUAGGGGUGAGUGGAACUCCAGGUGGAGCGGUGAAAUGCGUAGAUAUCUGGAGGAACACCGGUGGCGAAAGCGGCUCACUGGACCGUAUCUGACGCUGAGGUGCGAAAGCUAGGGUAGCAAACGGG
RNAcentral lists this ribosomal RNA (422 nucleotides) under uncultured bacterium. RNAcentral's name for it is "bacterial SSU rRNA". It matches the Rfam family "Bacterial small subunit ribosomal RNA", at positions 359 to 776 of the family's 1533-position model. The record is from RNAcentral.